GGUGAGGCAAGGUCUGGAGACAUCCUGUUGGCAUCCUCAGAGUACAGAAGAACAUAAGCCCUGCCCAAAUGGGGAGAACCACCUGCUGUCAAGAGUCAGCCAGCUGCAGUAUCAGCCCCUGAAGAGGACGAGCUAGCAGUGCUGAUGUCAGGGAACUUUCCACUCCUCAAACCGACAGGAACAGGACCGUGAGCACAAAACGUGAACACGGACCAGAACGAGUUGGCAUGCAGGACUAGGUUGCCUUGACGACUCUGAGUUCUGACAGGGAAAUACAAUGAGUUUUAUGUGGACAGAGUUCCACGGUCUAUUGCAAAAUCAAUGUGCUGUUUGAAUGAAUCAUCACUUCCAACCAUUGGUCAUUGGUGUCUGAAUCUUGAUUGCAGAUGAAGCACUGAGUCAUGACUGUAAAAUGCCACAGUAUUUAUGAAAACCAAGAAGGUUUUUUAUUUAUCCUGACUAGCUAAAUCAAGGCCUGGAAUGAUGAUAUGUCCCAG
Molecule: long non-coding RNA, 497 nt
Filed under: Homo sapiens (human)
Lineage: Eukaryota; Metazoa; Chordata; Mammalia; Primates; Hominidae
Description: HSALNT0225916
Source: RNAcentral